This 450-nucleotide ribosomal RNA is filed under the name uncultured bacterium. Its description in RNAcentral is "partial 16S ribosomal RNA". It matches the Rfam family "Bacterial small subunit ribosomal RNA", at positions 354 to 796 of the family's 1533-position model. The record is from RNAcentral.
GUGGGGAAUUUUGGACAAUGGGCGCAAGCCUGAUCCAGCAAUGCCACGUGCAGGAAGAAGGCCUUCGGGUUGUAAACUGCUUUUGUACGGAACGAAACGGUCCGGGUUAAUACCCUGGGCUAAUGACGGUACCGUAAGAAUAAGCACCGGCUAACUACGUGCCAGCAGCCGCGGUAAUACGUAGGGUGCAAGCGUUAAUCGGAAUUACUGGGCGUAAAGCGUGCGCAGGCGGUUUUGUAAGACAGGCGUGAAAUCCCCGGGCUCAACCUGGGAAUUGCGCUUGUGACUGCAAGGCUGGAGUGCGGCAGAGGGGGAUGGAAUUCCGCGUGUAGCAGUGAAAUGCGUAGAUAUGCGGAGGAACACCGAUGGCGAAGGCAAUCCCCUGGGCCUGCACUGACGCUCAUGCACGAAAGCGUGGGGAGCAAACAGGAUUAGAUACCCGUGUAGUCC